CAUUAUGAUGACAAGAUGUCGCCCCAAACGGACUUUAUAAUGACCGACUCGACAAUUUAUGCCAAACACACUGAAAAUCUGAUA
This 84-nucleotide small nucleolar RNA is filed under the name Brettanomyces bruxellensis. RNAcentral also lists the same sequence under 1 other name. The record is from RNAcentral. Lineage: Eukaryota; Fungi; Ascomycota; Pichiomycetes; Pichiales; Pichiaceae.